RNAcentral lists this long non-coding RNA (347 nucleotides) under Sorghum bicolor (sorghum). RNAcentral describes it as "long non-coding RNA (SBIC_LNC012364)". The record is from RNAcentral. Lineage: Eukaryota; Viridiplantae; Streptophyta; Magnoliopsida; Poales; Poaceae.
UUAAUAUCUCUUGAUUCCGAACUCCAAAUAUAGCAAAUAAUAUAUGCAUUUCGAUCAGCUCGACGAGAUCUUUGCAAUGGUGUACUCCAUUCUAUGAUUGGUGGAAACACCUGGGCGGGCGCCCAAGGGGGGAGGGCGGGCGCCCUGCCCCCGGGCCCGGUCGGCCUCUCGUUCGUUCCUGUGGCUUCUGGACUCUUCUAGAUGAUAGAAAAUUGCGCGGCACGUUAAUAUCUCUAUGUAAACCCGACGUGUGGGCCUUUCCUCCAUAUUUCCUGAUAACCCCCUGCAGAAAUAGACAAACACCAAAACUCGUAGAAUUCUAUUAGAUAAAACCCUAAGUCUGGGUG